This 356-nucleotide unclassified non-coding RNA is filed under the name uncultured Gymnopilus. Its description in RNAcentral is "sequence contains ITS1". The stretch from base 1 to 105 matches the Rfam family "5.8S ribosomal RNA", at positions 50 to 154 of the family's 154-position model. Lineage: Eukaryota; Fungi; Basidiomycota; Agaricomycetes; Agaricales; Cortinariaceae. The record is from RNAcentral.
GAAAUGCGAUAAGUAAUGUGAAUUGCAGAAUUCAGUGAAUCAUCGAAUCUUUGAACGCACCUUGCGCCCCUUGGUAUUCCGAGGGGCAUGCCUGUUUGAGUGUCAUUAAAUUCUCAACCUUACUAGCUUUUGCGAAGUAAUGGUCUGGAUGUGGGGGUCUUUUGCUGGUUUCGAAAGAAAUCUGCUCCCCUUAAAUGCAUUAGCCGGUGCCCCGCGUGGACCGUCUAUUGGUGUGAUAAUUAUCUACGCCGUUAGACGUCUGCUAUUAAAUGGGAUUGCGCUGCUUCUAAUCGUCCUCUUAGGACAAUUAUUGACCAUUUGACCUCAAAUCAGGUAGGACUACCCGCUGAACUUAA